Molecule: non-coding RNA, 87 nt
Filed under: Frankia sp.
Lineage: Bacteria; Bacillati; Actinomycetota; Actinomycetes; Frankiales; Frankiaceae
Description: ZTP sequence
Rfam family: ZMP/ZTP riboswitch aptamer (pfl RNA motif)
About the family: Previously known as pfl RNA. ZMP is also known as AICAR.
Source: RNAcentral
AGGCCAAGUCGUGACUGGCGUGCUGGGGUGGAAUCAACCACCGGGGAGCGACCGAUYGGCACGGCACCGUGCGCCUGGGUGUCACCG